AGUGAACGCUGGCGGUAGGCCUAACACAUGCAAGUCGAACGGCAGCACAGUAAGAGCUUGCUCUUACGGGUGGCGAGUGGCGGACGGGUGAGGAAUACAUCGGAAUCUACUUUUUCGUGGGGGAUAACGUAGGUAAACUUACGCUAAUACCGCAUACGACCUACGGGUGAAAGCAGUGGAUCUUCGGACCUUGCGCGAUUGAAUUAGCCGAUGUCGGAUUAGCUAGUUGGCGGGGUAAAGGCCCACCAAGGCGACGAUCCGUAGCUGGUCUGAGAGGAUGAUCAGCCACACUGGAACUGAGACACGGUCCAGACUCCUACGGGAGGCAGCAGUGGGGAAUAUUGGACAAUGGGCGCAAGCCUGAUCCAGCCAUACCGCGUGGGUGAAGAAGGCCUUCGGGUUGUAAAGCCCUUUUGUUGGGAAAGAAAAGCAGCAGGUUAAUACCCCGCUGUUCUGACGGUACCCAAAGAAUAAGCACCGGCUAACUUCGUG
Molecule: ribosomal RNA, 492 nt
Filed under: uncultured bacterium
Lineage: Bacteria
Description: partial 16S ribosomal RNA
Rfam family: Bacterial small subunit ribosomal RNA
Source: RNAcentral